Diachasma alloeum is the source of this 1061-nucleotide long non-coding RNA. RefSeq lists it as uncharacterized. The record is from RefSeq and is a predicted model, not a curated record. Lineage: Eukaryota; Metazoa; Arthropoda; Insecta; Hymenoptera; Braconidae. The transcript is spliced from 3 exons.
UUCAGUUUAAAUUUUUUAACAGUGAAAGCAGUACAGGGAAAAUCAAAAAUCUAUAAAAGAUAAUUUAUGAGUGGAAUUUGAAUUUUCGAAACCUAUGGAUAUUAGCGGAAAGACUUGAAGAUCUACCCCGACUUUCAUUGUGUUUCAUAUAUAUUGCCAUACACACAAAUCACUCAUUUGACAUAUUCAUUUUAUUCCCGAAUUUUCAAUGAAAUAAAAACGGAGCAUCCAAAGGAAAAUUUAGAAAGUGAUUCUGAUGACGAUCUUGAAUUUACCACAACGGAGGAAAUGGACCAAAUUCAAAUAGGAGAUAAAGUUGUGUAAGUGAAUAUAAUGCCUCUUAUAACCCUCUAUACACAAACAAAAACGUCAAAAUUUAUUCCUUCUUUCCAUUUUCCUUUUCCGAAUGAAACUUUGGAAAUAUCUGAAUUUCAUUUUUUCAUUUCAAAUCAUAAAUAUACUUGAGUUGAACAUCUUUUUCUAUUAAUAAUGAUCGACGUAGAAAAACUGAGGAAAGGAGGGAAGGGGUGCAACUAGGGGCUGUCAGGGUGAGGGGAGUUGCCGACAAUUUCAUGGUCAUCCUAUAACAACGAUUCAGAAAUUUUCCUUUCAGUGAGAUCGUGGGAUACGUAAGCGGAAUUGAGGCACAUCGAUACGCAAAAGGAAAUAAAUUAGUUCAAUCGUUCACAGUUUCAACUGAAGAUGAUGAGAGAUCUAUCAAAGUAGUUGCGUGGAACGACGUAGUUACACGAGUAAAAUCUGUGCUCUGUAUCAACAACGUCGUUCAUAUCAAUGGAGCACACGCAACAAAAACUGAUGCAAACACAAUACUGGUAACAUGCCUAUACAAUUAAUCCUUCAAUCAAACAUGGAAGUGAAGAAAAUAAAAACUUAUCAGCCAAAACCCCGAAAGAUUGGAACAAUCAGCAUCGCAGAUUUGACCAGAGAACCUAAAGAGCUUAUAAAGAUUUCAGGAUAUAUAAAAACAAAUUUUGCGAUUUCCAAGAAUCAACAAAAUCCCAUGUUUAAUACCUGUAUCGGAGCAAUAGCCGAAAAUACUA